CAGGGGUUUCAGAAGUUCCAUAAUGUAUUAGAAGCAAUAUAAAACGCUUGAAAUUUCAUGGAUUUUACAAAUUCGAUGGAACAAUAAUAUCAUGUAUUAACUAAUUAUAUACAGCAGUAAGAUAUAGAUAGCAAGAAUUACAAGAUAUGUAUAAUUUAUCAUAAUCGAAUGUCAGCCGGGAUCAUACACUGGCCCCUUUGUACUAAAAGCUUGAUGAAAAAUAAAUUAACUUUUUUUAAUAAAGAAUUAUUAUUGUAUUGCACUUCUGAUGCAUUAUUUGCCUUUAUAUAUCUUAAAUCAGUUCAUGCGUUACCAGGGAAGUAAUUCAACAAAUUAUUUAACAAUGUUAGUAUAAAA
RNAcentral lists this long non-coding RNA (357 nucleotides) under Mytilus galloprovincialis (Mediterranean mussel). Lineage: Eukaryota; Metazoa; Mollusca; Bivalvia; Mytilida; Mytilidae. The record is from RNAcentral.